Molecule: ribosomal RNA, 301 nt
Filed under: uncultured bacterium
Lineage: Bacteria
Description: partial 16S ribosomal RNA
Rfam family: Bacterial small subunit ribosomal RNA
Source: RNAcentral
CAGUCGCCGCGGUAAAACGUAGGGUGCAAGCGUUAAUCGGAAUUACUGGGCGUAAAGCGUGCGCAGGCGGUUAUAUAAGUCAGAUGUGAAAUCCCCGGGCUCAACCUGGGAACUGCAUUUGAGACUGUAUGGCUAGAGUGUGUCAGAGGGGGGUAGAAUUCCACGUGUAGCAGUGAAAUGCGUAGAUAUGUGGAGGAAUACCGAUGGCGAAGGCAGCCCCCUGGGAUAACACUGACGCUCAUGCACGAAAGCGUGGGGAGCAAACAGGAUUAGAUACCCGGGUAGUCCCUGUCUCUUAUAU